Non-coding RNA from Podarcis lilfordi (Lilford's wall lizard), 70 nucleotides. The record is from the annotation of a GenBank genome assembly. Lineage: Eukaryota; Metazoa; Chordata; Lepidosauria; Squamata; Lacertidae.
GCUGUAGCUCAGUGGUUAGAGUAGCAGCCUUUCUUGCAGGAGGUCCCAGGUUCGAUCCCCAGCAUCUCCA